GCACUUCUGAGGAGUCCCAUACCUAGGACGAAACGGCCGUCCAGUGC
Schistosoma mansoni is the source of this 47-nucleotide non-coding RNA. Lineage: Eukaryota; Metazoa; Platyhelminthes; Trematoda; Strigeidida; Schistosomatidae. The record is from Rfam.